This 254-nucleotide ribosomal RNA is filed under the name uncultured Armatimonadota bacterium. RNAcentral describes it as "uncultured Armatimonadetes bacterium partial 16S ribosomal RNA". It matches the Rfam family "Bacterial small subunit ribosomal RNA", at positions 524 to 776 of the family's 1533-position model. Lineage: Bacteria; Bacillati; Armatimonadota. The record is from RNAcentral.
UACGUAGGGAGCGAGCGUUGUCCGGAUUUACUGGGCGUAAAGGGCGCGUAGGCGGUCCGUUAAGCAUGAAGUGAAAUCUCCAGGGCUCAACCCGGAAACUGCUUUGUGAACUGGCGGACUGGAGGAAGGCAGAGGUGAGUGGAAUUCCCGGUGUAGCGGUGACAUGCAUUGAUAUCGGGAGGAACACCCAUGGCGAAGGCAGCUCACUGGGCCUUUCCUGACGCUGAGGCGCGAAAGCGUGGGUAGCAAACAGA